UGCUGAUUACAUUGGCAAGUUUGUCAUUCCUGUGAACUUCAUGAAGUCUUGGCCUCCUAACCAUCUUGCCAUUCAGUUUGCUUCUAUACAAUACAUUGACUGGAGGAAAGCACACGAAGUACAACAAGGUUCGCGUGAAAGUGAUGGCGAAGAAGAAGAAAGUGUUCGUACUUGGGAGACUCGCUCUGUAGAACGGUUGCCAAUGAUAUCUACGGCAUCUUGAGGCAGUGCAAGGAAGUGGCAUUUGGGAAUGCGGCCAAUCCACAGGCCCUUGUUGCACAAGCGGACAGUGCUACGCCUUUACUGUGCCCAGAUCAUCGGCCUUUCAUUGUAAUUAGUGCCCACCCCCAAGACAAAGAAUUU
This is a long non-coding RNA of Dermacentor silvarum, 363 nucleotides long. RefSeq lists it as uncharacterized. NCBI's taxonomy places the organism in Eukaryota, Metazoa, Arthropoda, Arachnida, Ixodida, Ixodidae. The record is from RefSeq and is a predicted model, not a curated record. The transcript has 3 exons.